GACGAUGAUGAUGAUGAUGAUGACAUAGUUGAAUCAAGAAAAUAAAGAUAAUGAAAGAAAACCAUUCCAAAGCUUCAAUUAUAUAUUCCUGAAAAAUUAAUAAAACCCAUAUCAAUGCUAAUUAAAUUAUCCCAGAAAAAAAUAGAAAUAGGGAUUCAUUGAUGAGAAAUAGAAUUGUGAGUUUUUCUCAUCGGCAAUACUUUUUUGAUACAUGAAUUGAUAAGCUAUUGGAUAUAAAGAGCUGGCUACUUGCUUGGUGUUCCAGGUUGAUUUCUCU
This 277-nucleotide unclassified non-coding RNA is filed under the name Hevea brasiliensis (rubber tree). Lineage: Eukaryota; Viridiplantae; Streptophyta; Magnoliopsida; Malpighiales; Euphorbiaceae. The record is from RNAcentral.